GAACGCGAAGAACCUUACCCGGGAUUGAAAUGUAGAUGACCGCUCCUGAAAGGGAGUUUUCCUUCGGGACAUCUAUGUAGGUGCUGCAUGGUUGUCGUCAGCUCGUGUCGUGAGAUGUUGGGUUAAGUCCCGCAACGAGCGCAACCCUUAUUACUAGUUGCCAGCAUUGAGUUGGGCACUCUAGUGAGACUGCCGGUGACAAACCGGAGGAAGGUGGGGAUGACGUCAAAUCAUCAUGCCCUUAUGACUUGGGCUACACACGUGCUACAAUGGAUGGUACAACGAGCAGCGAACUCGCGAGGGUAAGCGAAUCUCUUAAAGCCAUUCUCAGUUCGGAUUGUAGGCUGCAACUCGCCUACAUGAAGCCGGAAUCGCUAGUAAUCGCGGAUCAGCACGCCGCGGUGAAUACGUUCCCGGGUCUUGUACACACC
This 431-nucleotide ribosomal RNA is filed under the name uncultured bacterium. RNAcentral describes it as "bacterial SSU rRNA". It matches the Rfam family "Bacterial small subunit ribosomal RNA", at positions 957 to 1391 of the family's 1533-position model. The record is from RNAcentral.